RNAcentral lists this ribosomal RNA (440 nucleotides) under uncultured bacterium. RNAcentral describes it as "partial 16S ribosomal RNA". It matches the Rfam family "Bacterial small subunit ribosomal RNA", at positions 338 to 795 of the family's 1533-position model. The record is from RNAcentral.
CCUACGGGAGGCUGCAGUGGGGAAUAUUGCGCAAUGGGCGAAAGCCUGACGCAGCGACGCCGCGUGAGUGAAGAAGUAUUUCGGUACGUAAAGCUCUAUCAGCAGGGAAGAAAAUGACGGUAGCUGACUAAGAAGCACCGGCUAACUACGUGCCAGCAGCCGCGGUAAUACGUAGGGGGCAAGCGUUAUCCGGAUUUACUGGGUGUAGAGGGAGCGUAGACGGCAGCGCAAGUCUGGAGUGAAAUCCCAUGGCUUAACCAUGGAACUGCUUUGGAAACUGUGCAGCUAGAGUGCAGGAGAGGUAAGCGGAAUUACUAGUGUAGCGGUGAAAUGCGUAGAUAUUAGGAGGAACACCAGUGGCGAAGGCGGCUUACUGGACUGUAACUGACGUUGAGGCUCGAAAGCGUGGGGAGCAAACAGGAUUAGAUACCCCAGUAGUC